UCCCGCAGUAACGGCGAGUGAAGUGGGAAGAGCCCAGCACCGAAUCCCCUGCUCGCGAGGGCAGCGGGAACUGUGGUGUAUAGGACAGCCUCUGCGACGUCGACCGGUCGUCUAAGUCCCCCUGAUCGGGGCUUUGACCCAUAGCGGGUGUUAGGCCUGUACGGCCGCCGGUCGCGUCGCUCUGUGCAUCCUGGGAGUCGGGUUGUUUGUGAAUGCAGCCCAAAGCGGGUGGUAAACUCCAUCUAAGGCUAAAUACCGACACGAGUCCGAUAGC
Molecule: ribosomal RNA, 274 nt
Filed under: Siboglinum fiordicum
Lineage: Eukaryota; Metazoa; Annelida; Polychaeta; Sabellida; Siboglinidae
Description: partial large subunit ribosomal RNA
Rfam family: Eukaryotic large subunit ribosomal RNA
Source: RNAcentral